CUAAUUGUAUUUCUGGGCCCCUCUCUGCAAAAGAUGUAAAGAUCUAUAGAUAAGAAACAACGAGAAGUUUAUGCGAAGAGGUGCUGUUUUACAUGACUUCAUGAUACAGCUCUAGCAGAGCCAGCUGCCUUCUGCCGGGAAGCAGGUGAUAUCCAUCAUGCUUAACACCAUUGCUUUGGAGAAACACAGGGAUCCUUGGUGCCCACAAUAUAACUGUUAGGCCACAGAAGAGAGAUCUGAUGUACAUCUUGUGGUGACAAGAGACACAAGAAGAAUUGAUGUAGAGCACGCAACUUUGCCAAGACAGAGAAAACUGGUGGAAAGCAGCUAUUUCACAUACGAAGGAGGGACUCAGUAUUUUCUUAGAAAGGUAACUUAGCUCUUGAGGUAAGUUUUCGUUUUCUCAGUGUUGAAUUCUACGUUCUUCCUCAGUCAUCUUCCAACUCAUAACUACUUCAGUUUCCUAUUCAUUGCUCUGAAUGAUGUGGACAUUUAAUACCUACUGUGGUGCUACAGCACUGCUUUGUUGUGAUGUUGCAAGCUCCAUUCUUUCAGUGUGGGAUUAAAAGGGCAAAUAAGCAAAGAAGUUACCAUUGCAGUAUAAGUGCAACUGUAGUUACUACUUCCACCCACCAGGAUAAUAUCAGUAGGAAAUUAACAUCCUUAGGAAGAUCAGACAGAAUAUAUCUAUCCUGUCUAUAUUGCUAGAGUGGACAAGGAAGAAAGUUGUACUGUGUUUGAACUACAUUUUCAGUACUCAUUAAUUCUUCUCAUUAGUGCAUCAAUGGUAGAUAAAGCUACUGGAAGCUACCACUCAUUCUCCAAGAAAUGUAUCCUGCAAAGCCAGCAAAUGGGGGCAAAUUAUUUGCUGAAGCAACUGCCUGUUGAAGAUGCUUUGUUCCAGCACUGUGAAAGUUGAUAUAAAUGUAUGGAUAAAAGUAAACUAAACUGUUCCAUAGAUGUAAAUAGGUGUAUAAUAACGUAUAUAUGGUUUGUUUGCAGUGUCUUCUUGGCAGGUAAUCUGCAGCUAGCAGAUUUAGUCAGCUGCUAAAUGUUCAUGGAAAUAUGAUUUGAAUUGCUUUCCACACUGCUGGUGAGUGGCCAGGAAAAGAAAACAAUUCAUAUCUAAUAUAAUCAAUGGAUUCAGCUCCUGUAAAAAAAGAUACAGAAAAACUUGUUGAUCUAUAUACAUUUUUUUGAUUUUAAUUUUCAGAAAAAGAGGUGAAUAAUAAUUAUUAUCUCUUACACAAAUCAUACAUCUUAAAGAAUAGGAUGGGUUCUACAGAAAAUCUGAAAUAUGAAUGAU
Cygnus olor (mute swan) is the source of this 1306-nucleotide long non-coding RNA. RefSeq lists it as uncharacterized. The record is from RefSeq and is a predicted model, not a curated record. The transcript has 3 exons. Lineage: Eukaryota; Metazoa; Chordata; Aves; Anseriformes; Anatidae.